CUCAGGAUGAACGCUGGCUGUGUGCCUAAUACAUGCAUGUCGAACGAAGCACUUGUGCUUAGUGGCGAAUGGGUGAGUAACACGUACUUAAUCUGCCCUCAAGUCUGGGACAACAGUUGGAAACGACUGCUAAUACCGGAUACGUAUUUCUACCGCAUGGUAGUUUUAUAAAAGGAGCGUUUGCUUCGCUAGAGGAUGAGAGUGCGUCAUAUUAGUUAGUUGGUAGGGUAAAGGCCUACCAAGACGAUGAUAUGUAGCGGGGUCGAGAGGCUGAACCGCCACACUGGGACUGAGAUACGGCCCAGACUCCUACGGGAGGCAGCAGUAGGGAAUAUUCCACAAUGAACGAAAGUUUUGAUGGAGCGACACAGCGUGCAGGAUGAAGGUCUUCGGAUCGUAAACUGCUGUUAUAAGAGAAGAACAAGCUUAAUGGAAAUGAUUAAAGCCCUGACGGUACCUUAUCAGAAAGCACCGGGCAAACUAUG
This 485-nucleotide ribosomal RNA is filed under the name uncultured bacterium. RNAcentral's name for it is "bacterial SSU rRNA". It matches the Rfam family "Bacterial small subunit ribosomal RNA", at positions 23 to 505 of the family's 1533-position model. The record is from RNAcentral.